CUCGUAGGUGGCCAACUAAGUCAGACGUGAAAUCCCUCGGCUUAACCGGGGAACUGCGUCUGAUACUGGAUGGCUUGAGUUUGGGAGAGGGACGCGGAAUUCCAGGUGUAGCGGUGAAAUGCGUAGAUAUCUGGAGGAACACCGGUGGCGAAGGCGGCGUCCUGGACCAAUACUGACACUGAGGAGCGAAAGCCAGGGGGAGCAAAACGG
RNAcentral lists this ribosomal RNA (210 nucleotides) under uncultured bacterium. RNAcentral's name for it is "partial 16S ribosomal RNA". It matches the Rfam family "Bacterial small subunit ribosomal RNA", at positions 568 to 776 of the family's 1533-position model. The record is from RNAcentral.